GUGAGGAAUAUUGGUCAAUGGGCGGAAGCCUGAACCAGCCAUCCCGCGUGAAGGAAGAAGGCCUUAUGGGUUGUAAACUUCUUUUCUGUUUGAAGAAUAAGCUUGUCGAGACAAGUGAUGCCGGUAGGACAGGAAUAAGCAUCGGCUAACUCCGUGCCAGCAGCCGCGGUAAUACGGAGGAUGCAAGCGUUAUCCGGAUUUAUUGGGUUUAAAGGGUGCGCAGGUGGUUUAAUAAGUCAGUGGUGAAAGUCUGCCGCUUAACGGUAGGAUUGCCAUUGAUACUGGUGGACUUGAAGAUGGAUGAGGUAGGCGGAAUGUGUAGUGUAGCGGUGAAAUGCUUAGAUAUUACACAGAACACCGAUUGCGAAGGCAGCUUACUAAUCCAUGAUUGACGCUGAGGCACGAAAGCGUGGGGAUCAAACAGGAUUAGAUACCCGUGUAGUCC
This 445-nucleotide ribosomal RNA is filed under the name uncultured bacterium. Its description in RNAcentral is "partial 16S ribosomal RNA". It matches the Rfam family "Bacterial small subunit ribosomal RNA", at positions 354 to 796 of the family's 1533-position model. The record is from RNAcentral.